UAAAGUGAAAGCAAGUUUACUAAGCAAGUAAAGGAACAAGGCAGGGUGCAGUGGCUCACGCCUGUAAUCCCAGCACAUUGAGAGAGGCUGAGGAAUACAGGCAUGAGCCACAGAGCCCAGCCAAAACUACAUUUUAAAAAUAAUUUUUUAUCAUUACACACUCCACUAGAAACCAUUUAACCCAAUUUAUGGACUUACAUUUCUUCCAUUGAAGAACUUGAAGGAUCCAAAAAUCGAGGUGACAUUCUCAGAUUUGUGUGGCAAAAAAAGAAUAGAAAAAUAACAGAUGCAAAGAAUGUGUUCCACCAAUAUGUGGAGGAUCCCUUUUAUUU
RNAcentral lists this long non-coding RNA (332 nucleotides) under Pan troglodytes (chimpanzee). RNAcentral's name for it is "lincRNA". RNAcentral also lists the same sequence under 1 other name. Lineage: Eukaryota; Metazoa; Chordata; Mammalia; Primates; Hominidae. The record is from RNAcentral.